AACGAACGCUGGCGGCAUGCCUAACACAUGCAAGUCGAACGAAACCUUCGGGUCUAGUGGCGCACGGGUGCGUAACGCGUGGGAACCUGCCCUUGGGUUCGGAAUAACUCCCCGAAAGGGGUGCUAAUACCGGAUAAUGUCUUCGGACCAAAGAUUUAUCGCCUUUGGAUGGGCCCGCGUUGGAUUAGCUAGUUGGUAGGGUAAAAGCCUACCAAGGCGACGAUCCAUAGCUGGUCUGAGAGGAUGAUCAGCCACACUGGGACUGAGACACGGCCCAGACUGCUACGGGAGGCAGCAGUGGGGAAUAUUGGACAAUGGGCGAAAGCGUGAUCCAGCAAUGCCGCGUGAGUGAUGAAGGCCUUAGGGUUGUAAAGCUCUUUUACCCGGGAUGAUAAUGACAGUACCGGGAGAAUAAGCUCCGGCUAACUACGUG
This 433-nucleotide ribosomal RNA is filed under the name uncultured bacterium. RNAcentral's name for it is "partial 16S ribosomal RNA". It matches the Rfam family "Bacterial small subunit ribosomal RNA", at positions 29 to 507 of the family's 1533-position model. The record is from RNAcentral.